CGAAGAUUACCUACCUGUGUCAUGCCAUGGGCUGGCCAUACAUAACAUGGUCGAUUGAUGGUCGAUAUUUUGGAGAACACCAGAAUAUUUGAUCAAUAUUGCGCAAGGCAACGCAGAUUCUCCAAAGUAGGCUAUGUGGUCUGUGUGAACCCCUGGUGUGAACCACUAUACCAACACGGCCACUUCACCUCUAUCCUGCCUGCCACCAAGAAAGAGAAUGUGUCGGACGUCGACCACCCACCCAGAGCAUAGACAGGCCCAUCACUCUGGGUGAGUAGUGCGUAGUCCUGUGCAGACCACCAUGUUGACAUGAGUCUCACACUUAAUCCAGCUGAGGAAACUCAACUCUAGCCGCCUCUCCCUGUGAGCCUUCCAAAAGGGCAGCCGCCUGUGCAGUCUCCCCAGGCCCCUACUCCAGUCGGUCACAGGGCUGACCAGAAGGCCAGCAUAUGCACACACACACACACACA
Molecule: long non-coding RNA, 470 nt
Organism: Alosa sapidissima (American shad)
Lineage: Eukaryota; Metazoa; Chordata; Actinopteri; Clupeiformes; Clupeidae
Exons: 4
Source: RefSeq, a predicted model, not a curated record